UACGUAGGCAGCAAGCGUUGUUCGGAGUUACUGGGCGUAAAGGGUGCGUAGGCGGUCCUAUAAGUAUGGUGUGAAAUCUCCCGGCUUAACUGGGAGGGUGCGCUAUAGACUGUGGGACUAGAGUGUGGGAGAGGACGCGGAAUUCCAGGUGUAGCGGUGAAAUGCGUAGAUAUCUGGAGGAACACCGGUGGCGAAGGCGGCGUUCUGGACUGUCUCUGACACUGAAGAA
This 229-nucleotide ribosomal RNA is filed under the name uncultured bacterium. RNAcentral describes it as "partial 16S ribosomal RNA". It matches the Rfam family "Bacterial small subunit ribosomal RNA", at positions 524 to 753 of the family's 1533-position model. The record is from RNAcentral.